Molecule: RNA transcript, 1484 nt
Organism: Salvia miltiorrhiza (redroot sage)
Lineage: Eukaryota; Viridiplantae; Streptophyta; Magnoliopsida; Lamiales; Lamiaceae
Exons: 8
Source: RefSeq, a predicted model, not a curated record
GUUUCCUUUUCCUCUUUCAAUUCAUUCUAAAGUCCGGUGCCGCUACACUGAAAUUGGGUGAGCCGGCGCUGCCGUAGUUUCUCUAAAUCCGACACAAUCGUCGUUCGUUUCCUCUUCUUCUCUCAAUCACUACAAUUCCAGAGUCCACACACAAAGAAUCGAGCCCUAGUUCAUUAUUCUCUUGGAAACUGUUGCCGUCGCGGCUCCUCUCCGACGAUGUUGUGCCCGCCGUCGGCGUUGCCUCUAGUGUUCUCAAUUACACAUGGAGGAAGGGACGAGCCCUAAUUUCGCCUCAGAAUCGCCGCAGGCCAUCCCCCCUCCCCUUUGAACUCCGGCGAUGUCGCCGUCCUUAGGGCGGUGUCGCUCUGCCUCAUCUCAGAAAACUCUCUCCUCUCAACCUCAAGCACCAAUUCGUACUCACAUACGAAAGAGAACAACAGUCGAGCCCUAAUUUCUCCAUAAAAAACAGAAGCAGCCGCUGUCCUCCUCUCAAUUCCGCCAACGUCGCCGCCCAAGGUUGUUCAUGAGACCAUUAAUGUUGGAACAGAGACUGCUGCCGGUGUGUUUUGGAUUGAGAAGAGUUUCACGCUUCCAGGAAAAUUCUUAUACCUGAGUGUGUUUUGGAUUGAGAAGAGUUUCAGGCCUCAAAGCUAGUUAAGGAAAUUGGUUGCAACUGAUCGGUGUAUCAUGGCUAUCUUAUUCCUUAUUGUUGUCGGUGUCAUAGCUAUCAUUAUUGUGAAGUUUGGGAAUAUUAAAUAAAGCUAGAGAUGGGGAAAAUGUUCUGCAGCUACGCAAACUCUGCCUUGCCACCACAUGACUGCUGCUCAGAACGUCAUGGAACAGGUCUGAUGGAACCAAAAUGAUAGUGCAUAUGUUCGACUCUCUUUAUAAUAGAAUUCGUGAUGUCCCUUGGAAAGCUGCUGUUGACAAUGCUAUGAGUAUCUACAAUGCAAACAAAGGAAAGAAAUUCAAGAACUCGGCAAAAUGGGAAAAUAUAAAGGCUCCUAAGCAACCUGGUGGUACGGAAUGUGGAUUUUUUGUGAUGCGCUAUAUGAAAGAAAUAGUGCAAGGGUUUGAAAAGGACGCCAAUAUUUCUCUGCCAUCAUUGUUUACGAAUGUACAAUAUUCUCAAGUUGAAAUCGAUGAAGUUCGCGAGGAAUGGGCUAAGUGUGUUCUUACACAUGUAUUGGACUGAUUGUGAAUUAUGAUCAGGCUAUUAAUCCUCUUAUAUCAUCCCUAAGUGUUGGUGAUAUACAUGUGCCAUAUUAAUCCUCUUAUAUCAUCCGCUUAUACUUGUGAAUUAUGAUCAGGCUUUAAAAUUCACAUAUAUAACUUAAGUAACAAAUUACUGAAACUGGGCUUUUGAGAUUAAGUUUAGAUUCAAACAUUUGUGAAGUUAAUCUUCAUUUAGCAUCAUUUUUAGUUUCUUUACAUGGCACAUAGUAUUAUGUUUUAUUGAUUUUGUUUCAUGGUCAGGUGGCAAU